CGGUCGCGUAACACGUAAGCAACCUGCCCUGAAGUGGGGGACAACAUCCCGAAAGGGGUGCUAAUACCGCAUGUGGUCACGAGUCGGCAUCGACUUGUGUCUAAAGAUUUAUCGCUUCAGGAUGGGCUUGCGGCCUAUCAGGUAGUUGGUGGGGUAAUGGCCUACCAAGCCGACGACGGGUAGCUGGUCUGAGAGGACGAUCAGCCGGAUUGGGACUGAGAUACGGCCCAGACUCCUACGGGGGGCAGCAAUUAGGAAUCUUGCGCAAUGGGGGAAACCCUGACGCAGCGACGUCGCGUGAAGGAUGAAGGCCCUCGGGUCGUAAACUUCUUUUGAGUGGGAAGAAAUUUGACGGUACCACUCGAAUAAGCCCCGGCUAACUACGUGCCAGCAGCCGCGGUAAUACGUAGGGGGCGAGCGUUGUCCGAAGUUACUGGGCGUAAAGCGCGCGUAGGCGGUUAUUUAAGUCUGGGGUGAAAGGUUCAGCGCUCAACGUGAA
RNAcentral lists this ribosomal RNA (499 nucleotides) under uncultured bacterium. RNAcentral describes it as "bacterial SSU rRNA". It matches the Rfam family "Bacterial small subunit ribosomal RNA", at positions 103 to 618 of the family's 1533-position model. The record is from RNAcentral.